CCUCUCAGGUCUAUGCGAACUCUUUUAGUCCGUCCAGGAAGCUGUGUUUCUUUUUCAUUGGUUGUUUAUGUAGUUGUCGGCUAUGUAAACGAUUUUGUUUACCUCUUCCUUAAAACUACCAAUGUGUUCUAAUUCGGAUCUGAAGUCUGGUAAAUUAGUGAAUCCCUCCAUGACGUACAUGUCUUAGCGGACAACUUCGGAAAGUAGAACAAACAACAAAGAAAAGUUAUAUUAAUCAAGUUUUCAGUAGGACUAUGGAAUUCUAUCAAUUUAAAGAGUUUCAAUGAUACACGACACUGAAUAGAAUGGUUUAGAGUGUAAUGGUUUAUCAUUGGAGGUGAGAGUUAAGCGAUGAAGUGGGAGAACCCUAGGCCCUAGUUUAGAGACGGUGAGAAAGAAUAGACGAUUAGGAGACUUCUUUGGGUCUGUCUGACGCAUCAGCCUUACCUUUUAAGGCUUAUGUAGAAAAUGGGUGCGAUAGGCCGCAAGUUAAUUAACAUGACCCAACAACCAUUAAUUCAUUACACAGCCAUGUU
Molecule: long non-coding RNA, 536 nt
Filed under: Brassica napus (rape)
Lineage: Eukaryota; Viridiplantae; Streptophyta; Magnoliopsida; Brassicales; Brassicaceae
Description: long non-coding RNA (BNAP_LNC005476)
Source: RNAcentral